This 71-nucleotide transfer RNA is filed under the name Loxodonta africana (African savanna elephant). It matches the Rfam family "tRNA". From Rfam's summary of the family: Transfer RNA (tRNA) molecules are approximately 80 nucleotides in length. Their secondary structure includes four short double-helical elements and three loops (D, anti-codon, and T loops). The record is from Rfam by way of RNAcentral. Lineage: Eukaryota; Metazoa; Chordata; Mammalia; Proboscidea; Elephantidae.
ACAUUGGUGGUUCAGUAGUAGAAUUCCUGCCUUCCAUGCAGAACACCCAAGUUUGAUUCCCAGCUAAUGCA